Molecule: unclassified non-coding RNA, 219 nt
Filed under: Hevea brasiliensis (rubber tree)
Lineage: Eukaryota; Viridiplantae; Streptophyta; Magnoliopsida; Malpighiales; Euphorbiaceae
Source: RNAcentral
CUGGGCUCAAAUUUAGAUUGUUCUUCAACAAAAGAACGUUACAGAUAGCGAGGAGAGGGCAAGGUCCAUUGUCGUUUUGGAGAACAAUAGGAGUAGUGCGGCCCAAAAACUGUAUCGUCUUCGUUUUGUGGACGCACUCCUCUUUCAACGCCUCUUGUUGAUUCUGUUCUUGUCUUGGUUCUUCGGUCACCGAAGAAGUACAAGCCAUUUCCAUGAAAU